RNAcentral lists this transfer RNA (73 nucleotides) under Bacillus anthracis (anthrax bacterium). Its description in RNAcentral is "tRNA-Thr". It matches the Rfam family "tRNA". From Rfam's summary of the family: Transfer RNA (tRNA) molecules are approximately 80 nucleotides in length. Their secondary structure includes four short double-helical elements and three loops (D, anti-codon, and T loops). Lineage: Bacteria; Bacillati; Bacillota; Bacilli; Caryophanales; Bacillaceae. The record is from RNAcentral.
CGGGAAGUGGCUCAGUUGGUAGAGCAUCUGACUUGUAAUCAGAGGGUCGCAGGUUCAAAUCCUGUCUUCCCGA